RNAcentral lists this ribosomal RNA (497 nucleotides) under uncultured bacterium. Its description in RNAcentral is "partial 16S ribosomal RNA". It matches the Rfam family "Bacterial small subunit ribosomal RNA", at positions 28 to 507 of the family's 1533-position model. The record is from RNAcentral.
GAUGAACGCUGGCGGCGUGCCUAAUACAUGCAAGUCGAGCGAAGAGACGAGGAACUUGUUCCACUGAGGUUAGCGGCGGACGGGUGAGUAACACGUGGAUAACCUACCUAUAAGACGGGGAUAACUUCGGGAAACCAGUGCUAAUACCGCAUAAUAAAUUGAACCGCAAGGUUCAAGAUUGAAAGAUGCAUUUGCAGCACUCAAAAGAGGUAUCGCGGUCGCAUUGGCUAGUGGGUAGGGAAACGGCUAACCAAGGCAACGUAGCUUAGCGGACCGGAGAGGGUGAUCGGCAACAUUGGAACGGAGACACGGCCCAGACUCCUACGGGAGGCAGCAGUGGGGAACUUUGGACAAUGGGCGAAAGCCUGACGAAGCAACGCCGCGUGGGUGAUGAAGGUCUUCGGACGGUAAACCUUUUUUGUUGGGAAAGAAGAUAUGUAGAGUUAAAUACUCACGUAUUGACGGUACCUAAUCAGAAAGCCACGGCUAACUACGUG